RNAcentral lists this long non-coding RNA (1066 nucleotides) under Anser anser (Domestic goose). RNAcentral's name for it is "partial lnc_005028". The record is from RNAcentral. Lineage: Eukaryota; Metazoa; Chordata; Aves; Anseriformes; Anatidae.
GGGAAAACAAGGCCAGAGAUGGAAACAGAUAUACAGCAUUCCCACAGAUUUUAUAAAAAUUGGCUGAUGUACAGAGGAAAUCAGCACAGGUGUUAGAGGAAGGGUGGCACGGUGAGCUCAGGUAUUAUGUGCACCCUCUUCCCCAUCCCGUGGUUGGGAGAUGUGACAGGUAGCUGGUAGACCUUCAUGGUUAUUGAGGGGAUUUACUGGGGAAAUUACAGUGUCGGAGGAACGGAAAAGUCACAGGGGAAGCGAGGUUAUUGGUGUAGGGUGAGUGAGAGGAAAGAGGAUGGAGUAUAGAUUUGUGAAAAUCCAGUUUCAUUAGUCCCAUGGAACAACUUGUUUCACUGACUUAAUUGACUAAAAAAGCAGGAUCCUUUCUGAAGGAGCAAAACUUGACAGGAAAGUUACAUUUCUCCCUCCUAAAUGUCCAGUUCUCAUCAGGUAGUAGUGUCCAGCCAUAAAGACAAGGAGUCGGAUGGUUGCAAGUGCAAACUCCCAUCUUCAGUUCCCCAGCGCUGGAUUUAUCCACAGGGAUGCUGACGCAGGAGAGAAACUCCACAGCUUGGUCAGCCCUUGCACCAAAAAAUUACUGUGAAAAAAAAGCACAAGAGGUACAUGUCUGGCGGAAAGAACACCCCCAGUCUCGGCAGCAGCUGCCAUAAAGUUUGGAUGCCGACCUGAGCCUCCAGAAAGAUUUUUUCCCUGCAGAGGUGUGAGACACUUUGGCUGAUCAGGAUCUAAAUGUACAGAGAAAAAACACAGAUGUCAUUUCAGACUUGAACCAGUGCCAUCUACCUGAGCUUGAAAUCUUAUUGGAAAAAAAAGAGCAUUAAAAGGCUAAAAAAAUGAAAUUGAAAAGCUCUUCAAAUACCUAGUCCUGAACAAAUAGUUUCUUGAUAUCCUUAGAGCUAACAGAAGUGGACCUGGAGGGGAUUGAAAGAAAUACAAAAGCAUGAGUAAUUGGAAUAAGUAAACACGGACUAUUUCCUUUUUCCUGGUAUUUGCUUUAGUCAGAUUUAUGCAUAUAGAAAUCAAGUGACGUGGGACUCUAUCUUUCUCUCAC